GCAUAUCAAUAAGCGGAGGAAAAGAAACCAACCGGGAUUGCCUUAGUAACGGCGAGUGAAGCGGCAAAAGCUCAAAUUUGAAAUCUGGUACCUUCGGUGCCCGAGUUGUAAUUUGGAGAGGGCAACUUUGGGGCCGUUCCUUGUCUAUGUUCCUUGGAACAGGACGUCAUAGAGGGUGAGAAUCCCGUGUGGCGAGGAGUGCGGUUCUUUGUAAAGUGCCUUCGAAGAGUCGAGUUGUUUGGGAAUGCAGCUCUAAGUGGGUGGUAAAUUCCAUCUAAAGCUAAAUAUUGGCGAGAGACCGAUAGCGAACAAGUACAGUGAUGGAAAGAUGAAAAGAACUUUGAAAAGAGAGUGAAAAAGUACGUGAAAUUGUUGAAAGGGAAGGGCAUUUGAUCAGACAUGGUGUUUUGUGCCCUCUGCUCCUUGUGGGUAGGGGAAUCUCGCAUUUCACUGGGCCAGCAUCAGUUUUGGUGGCAGGAUAAAUCCAUAGGAAUGUAGCUUGCCUCGGUAAGUAUUAUAGCCUGUGGGAAUACUGCCAGCUGGGACUGAGGACUGCGACGUAAGUCAAGGAUGCGGCA
RNAcentral lists this ribosomal RNA (578 nucleotides) under Saccharomyces cerevisiae (brewer's yeast). RNAcentral describes it as "partial large subunit ribosomal RNA". It matches the Rfam family "Eukaryotic large subunit ribosomal RNA", at positions 38 to 630 of the family's 3401-position model. Lineage: Eukaryota; Fungi; Ascomycota; Saccharomycetes; Saccharomycetales; Saccharomycetaceae. The record is from RNAcentral.